Molecule: long non-coding RNA, 949 nt
Filed under: Anas zonorhyncha (Eastern spot-billed duck)
Lineage: Eukaryota; Metazoa; Chordata; Aves; Anseriformes; Anatidae
Description: lncRNA (ENSAZOG00000015141.1)
Source: RNAcentral
GCAGGGGGCUGCGCCCAGCCAGGACACGGUGUGCAACACCAGGGUGCGAGGCGUGAUGUGUGCUGGGGGUGCAAGGCACGAUGUACGCCGGGUGCUUUGCACACCCAGAGCGUGGUGCACGUUGCACGCCAGCCGUGUGGUGUUUCGCAGGAGGCCUCUCGUGCUCAGGAGCCAUCGGCAGAAGAGGUGCAGGCGCUGCGCGCGGAGGUGGAGCUGCUCCACCAGACGCUGCAGGACGUCACCCAGGUGCCCCCAGCCCUCCCCUGCACCCCCACUGCUGCCACCCUCUCCGUGCCUCAGUUUCCCCUCCCGUGGUGGUGCCACAGCAGAGCGCUGUCUCCAUCCCUCGCAGGCAGUGCUGGCGGAUGACCCUGGGUCCCCGACGGAGCCUCCGAGGCUCCCCUGCCGCAGCCUCUCGCCCGCUGCAGCUGCGGCCACGCUGGGGGCUGUGCACGGAGCCCUGCGGCGCCGGCACUUCCAGCUGCAGGAGGCCCGGGAGGUGUCGGGGAGCCUGCGGCGGGAGCUGGGGGACAGCGAGAGCCGGCGGGCGGCCCUGGAGCAGCGGCUGGAGCAGCUCAGCGCCGAGGCUGGGGGCUGCCGGCGGGCGCAGGAUGAGGCCGUGCGCGAAGCCGCCCGCCUGCGCGCCGACAUCGAGCUCCUGCGCAGCGAGCGGAGCCGCGUGGAGCAGGCGCUGGCGGCGGAGCAGGCGCGGGCGGGGGUCCUGCAGCGCAGCGAGGCCGAGCUGCAGCGCCGCGGCCGGGGGCUGGAGGAGCAGCGGGACGAGGCCGCCCGUGCCGCCGAGGCUGCGCGCCAGCAGCUGGAGCACAGGUGGGGACCCCCCGGUGCCGUGACCCCCCCAUGGGGCUGCAGAAUAGUGCCUCACCCCUCCCGUGGGUGCUGCCCCCACCCCCGGCUGUCUCCAUCCCUCGCAGGCAGUGCUGGCGGAUGA